Molecule: long non-coding RNA, 10960 nt
Filed under: Capsella grandiflora
Lineage: Eukaryota; Viridiplantae; Streptophyta; Magnoliopsida; Brassicales; Brassicaceae
Description: long non-coding RNA (CGRA_LNC001404)
Source: RNAcentral
AACUUUUUUUUUUUGGUUAAAGUUAAGAGAGAAGGGAAGUGUUUUUGGCGAUAAGAAUCCAACUCUUUCUGUUCUGUUUUGCCUCCUCCAAAAUAACAUAGAGAGUGAGCCACCAUGUCGAUUUCAAACCGUAGAUGGAGAGCAAGGUACUUAGAAGAGGAAGUCGCCUCAUGCUGCACUAGUGGAGGAUUAGAUUCAUUUCCCAAGAUUAAGGAAGCGAAUUUAGGACCAAGGAGAUGCUGAUCAAGUGGUGCAACGUAAGAUCUGCUGUCUCGUAGUCUCCUCAUCAGCAAAGCCGCAGUUUCUUGUAUUCUUGGGACAAAGUGUAGCGCGUGAAAGUUACAUCUGCACCGAAGCCUCUACUACCAAAAAAGUUUAGCACAAAGAAGCUAGCUAAUUAGAGAUAGAAAUGCAGAGGACUCAAGAAUUAUCUACCUGUAACUCAGACGGAAUUGGAUCAAAGGCUAAACGAUUUCCGAAUCCAACAAAAUGGACUACUCCGUUCUUGAGUAUUAUAGGGAGAAUAUGUUGCAUAUAGAAGUCUGGUUUGGCUUCCUUCAUCACUUCUGAAUCUGUCACCUUAAGAGAUAAAAGUGACAAAACAUAAACAAACAAACAAACAAAAAAAAAAAGAGAAAGAAAGAUGAGACUCGUCUACAUUAAGAUUUGGGAAAACUCACGAUACUGCCGAUUGCUUCAAGAUCCAAAGAUUGAAGGUUUUUUGGUAGUUCCUUUACUAUCCGAAUAUCAGGUGACAAAUACUUUAUAAAAUGUUCCACUUGGUAGAUAUCUCCAAAAUGACUAUGAAGUAUCAAAGUUCAAUACAUCCGUUACAAAUGUAAAAACAAUUCUUCUGUAUGAUUUGAAAACGGUAAGACAGGGUGAGAUAGAGGACGGAGAGCUUACAAUAGUUACCUUGCAUCUGUCCAAACGUCACUUAACAUGAACUUGGGAAUGACGAGAGAGGCAUUGAGCAAUCGGGCUACAACAACAAUGUUACAUACCUGUGAAGAAAUCCAAUGGUUAUAGUCCACUAGAGAGAUUUUAAAGAUAAGGAGAAGAAAACUUACAGCAACUCUUUGUUGAUUAAUCCCUCCGUUUGCAGUUACCAUUAUAUAUCCAUUUUUGCCAUCUAAAAAUCAUGAAAAGUAAAAAUCCAUAUUGGAAACAAGCUUUAAUCCAAUGUUAAGAGAUAAAAGGACUAUAAGAGAGACCGUCAGGUUUCCAAGAAUGUUGAUCAGCGCAAGGCUUCCAUGCCGACGCUUGUUCCCUUGGCUCCUGCCAUAACUCUUUUGGCUCAAGUUUAUUCUGAUCAAAAUCGAACACCAUUUCCAUGCAAAUUAGAAAUCGAAGUAGCAAAACAAUGUUACAGAGAAAGGAAGAUAAGAUUGGUUUUUGAAGAAUACAUUUACCUCUGCCAAAACAUGAGCAGCCAAACUCAACAUCCUACCAUAUGUUCCAUUAUAUUUCCUCUUUGGUUUUUCAAACUUCUUACGUUCUUCAUUCUGAUUCACACACCAAAAAAAAGUUAGAUCAAAAAAACUUUAAGUACAGGAAAAUUAAGCACAAUGUGAAAAGAGUGUAACACAAGAAACGUAAGUAAUUAAAGGAAACAAGUCAUUGACCUGUGAAAAAACUAGUUUUGAGUUCCGGUUAGGGUUCUUAGAGAGUCCUCUUCGAAGCCAGACACGACCUUCGUGAAGGCGAGAGAGCAUGAACCAAUUAACGAGACAAAAGAAACCCAAAAUAGCGAUAACGCCAAUGGCUGUUUUAGCCGUUCUUCUCUCGGAACAAGCGGAACAAGCUCGUAUUCUCUUCCUCUUCCCUCGCUUUACCGAUUGUUUUGGAUUCAGGUCGCCGGCUAAUGUAGAGAUCCGGGUCGGGCCUAGACGCGCACCACCGUAGACGUAAAGAUCACGUGACUCGGGUCUCUCUUCGUCGUCCAGUCUCUCUUGUCCCAUGAUCAACGAAAGACUCCUUUUCUUUGUAUCCCUCCCCCUCUCUGUGUCCGAAUCGAGAAAAGGGGAGAGAGAGAGAGAGACUAAACUAAAGGAUGUAAGAAAUUGCCAUAAAUAAGUAAGCGAAAGCUUUGCCGAAUCUAACGAUGAUAGUGAGAGUAUUUUCUUCGUUCGAAACUUCGAACAUCAUUAACGUUUGAUCUUAGUUUAAUUUUAGACCCAUAUAUGCAUGCACGUUAAAUUAUCACGUUUUCUGAAUACAGUUUAAAGCUAUAUGAACAUUGAACAGAAAAUAUACUAUACCCUUUGGUAUUUUUUCUGAAAUUAAAUCUUGAAUUUCUAAACUACAAGUACUUUGAUUAUUUUUGUCACCAACAAAAAGUAACUAAUACAACUACAUCAUAGCAAGAUGCAGCCGGAAAAAAAAACCGACUAGCUAGGUAGGUAAUGGAAUCUAUAAACUUUUUUUACUAUACAUACAAAGUAAAGUCAUACGUGAUAUUUCGCUUUCGAAUUAGCAAAUCUAGUAGAAUACAACCCAUUAACAAACAAAUCUACCAGUAGGGACUUAUUUGAAAAUUAAUCAAUUACGGGACCUUGAUGUAUCUUUAGAACCUACCAUGCAUUUGGUAUAUCUUUUAAUGGGAGUAAAGAAGAGUUGGCUAUGUAUCACAUCUAUAUUCUAGAAAGUAGAAACACUUUAAUUUUAAAGUUACACAACUACCAUAUUUGCUGAUUCUUGUAGCUCGAAGAUUUUCCUUAGGGAACCACAAGUCCACAAUCCACGAGAAAUUUGUUAUUCAAUUUAUAGACUCCAACUUUAGAACUUAAAAGUAAAUUUAGAAGCCUGAUCUUGAUGUAUCAUCUAUAAAGCCUAUCAUCAUUAGCUAUUUUUUUAAGUUGCUUAAACAAAACAAUACAUUUCGAUUCAACAAAAAGUUAUAGUUAAAAUCUUAGAAGCCAUCUUUUGUUGAUCCAUAGCUUAAAAAAUUUCGAAUAGAACCACGAAGAAUUUUGAAUUGGUCACUCAGAUUUAAGUACUUUAUAUUAAAUUUAGACUAUGUCUUCCAUAUUAUAAUUAUCUUAUAUAUUGGAGAAAAGCAAGAGAGAAAUAAACACAACCGAAACGGUACGGUACGUAGGUAACAAAUAUAGAAAGAGACCAAAUGUGAAAUUCUAGGGAAAACAGAAAAGCAAGGGAAUGGUUGCUGAUCAAGAGACGACUAUUGAGCCCCGAGCUCGAGAAGUAGCGUGUGGCUGAGAGCAUCUGAACCAGGCCCUGUGAAUUGGAUCGGACCUGCAAUAAUAUUUCCACAGAGAGUACACUAAGAAUCCAAAGACAACACGUGUUUUGCUUUAAGACAAAACAAAACUGCAACGAACCUGGGCUGAUGUAUCGGUUCUUCAAUGCCCAUUCCUCACGCAGCGAUGCAAAUUUCUUAAAAGGUGCACCUGCAGAUUCCAAAAAGUCACUUAGCAAGACCAUUAAACCGCAGGGUCAAAAACUAUAAAAAGAGAAGGGAAUCGAAGGGUCACCUUCAAGUUCCACCAUUGCUUUCUUGAUCACAGGCUUGAACUUACCUACAAGUUGACAUCAACACAGAUUGUUUAAUAUCCAUAUUUCAAAUCUGAGUAGACUCUUAUCGAUUUAUUUUCUUACCGUGUCUCCUCUCGACAUCCAUCAAGGCAGUGAGAGCAGUCCCACCUACAGUCCAGUCUUCCACAGGAGCAGCCAAGUUCCCAACCUGCGCCAAUAAAGUACUAAUCUCAAUUUAAGCAUAAACUAGUCUACCAAAAGGCUGUUUAGAUCAAGAGAUACAUGAGAAACAGAGAAAAACUGAUUCGAAUGGAAAUAGUGGAGUACAAACCGAAGAAAUCAGUCCCGUUUUCCCACUGUUGAGGAGUACUCCAGCGCCGUAACCAAGUGCAUAACAGUAUGUAGCAUCAAAGUUUGUAGGCAAGCCGCAUCUUCCUUCAUACCUGUUUCAAAUCAAUAAAUUGAGCUUGUUUCCCUCACAUAGAUAUAUAGGCAAUGUAUUAUGCAGCCAUAUAUAGGAACUUAGUUCAUUUAAAGAAAAAAACGAGAGAAAGUACCCGAAGAAAUGAGACUGUCCCAUGAAAUUUCCCUUGUAUGCACCAGCUUGCUUUCUUUUCUCCAAUUCAGUUUCAACCAUUUGAAUAAGCAUCUUCUCAGUCUCAAUCUUGGCCACCUAUCAAGAUGUACGAAAAAUAUAUAAAUAAUCCAUGAGAUAUGAAGCUAGUUGAAAUUUAAUAUGAGGUGACAAGACUAUUAUCAGUUACCUGGACAUUUCCAUGUGGGUCUCUCUCGAGCAUCAGCUGCUCCUGAAUCGCUGCGGGUAGAAGAUCAAACAGCUUCAAGGAUUGCUCUGUGAGCUUCUUCUUCCACUGCCCAUCUUCAUCAACAACCUCAUUUGCCAAAAUCUCAUUCAGUUCUGCGAUCAGCUCUUGGACCUAAGAAGUCAUAAAUUACAGAACACAUCAGAUAAGAAUACAAUUAUAUUAAUCGGCUUGAAAGUGGUAUAUUCUAAUAUCAGACACAAAAACACACCUCGGGGAUAAAAUCGAUCAGACCUUCUGGAAUCAGUAUGACACCAUAGUUGAAACCAAGUUCAGCACGUUUGCAGAUAACAUCUACCAUGUAGUCCGUGACAUUCUUCAAAGUCUGCUUCUGGGCGGACACCUGCAAAAGAGUAUUUCCAGAUCAAAAUUAAGUAAAUGUAGACUGAUUGCUACUGAGACUUGUGUGAGGUCUCUCUGAAACAAUUAUUCCAAUCUUAAUAUAGAUUAUUGGCUUCAACGGAAAAGUGUCACCAAAAUGAAUCUGAUAUGCAGUCUAAUUUUAACAUCAAUAAGACUCAAUUAACUUUAGGGAAUUUUGAAGUCAAACAAGAGCGUACCUCUUCUCCAAUAAUUGUUAUGUUAGGGUGAGUUUGUAAAGCACACUCAAGUGUAAUAUGGGAAGCAGCACGACCCAUAAGACGUACAACUGCAAUGAAAAUGUAAUACGACAUUGUAAGCAUCAGUAACAAAAAGGGCUCGUCAGAAAUAAUGCAUCUAUAAGAAUUUCUGUUAACCAUUACUUACAAUGAUAGUACUUUCCAGUUGACCUUGCAUCAAUCAUGACAUUUCCAAUCAUUUCAGAGUAGAUCUGCAUAAGCAAUAAAAUGUUUCAAUAGGCUUCUUUCAAACUAUUCUACUGGUAAAAUAAACAAACAAUUAGAUUCUUGACAAGGAAUAAAAUCAAAAGCACACAAUUAGUUAUGUAACAAUUAGUAUAGGGAAAGCAAGGAAAGUCCAGACAAAAAUUGAUCCAAACGGAAUCUCACCUUGCAAGCUGUAUCAAACCCAAAACUAGUAGGAACCUCUUUGCAUUUCAAAUCACCAUCAAUGGUCUUGGGGCAACCAAUGACUCGGGUUUUCAAGUUCUUACUCCUAAUAAUACAAGUAAAAAGCAAGUCAAAAUGCUGAAUCAGCAAAGCAUUAAAGAUUAUGUUCACAUGAAUCUUCAAGGGCAACAACUUUGGACUAGGAUAAAUAAACAGACAUGAAACAAAUUUGACUGCCAGUAUUACCUGAAGUUUUCAGCAAGGAGGCAAGCAUUGGUGUUGGAGUCAUCUCCACCGAUAACCACCAAUCCAUCCAAAUCUAGCUUCUUUGCUGUUUCUUCAGCUUGUUUAAACUGCACAUGUGAGCCAUUUAUAAUUACUCACUGCAUGGAAUGGAGACUUUGGAAGCAGUAACAAUUCUUUUUAAACCACGAAAAAUAUUCAACCUGAUCAGGUGUUUCAAUCUUGUCUCUUCCACUGCAGAUCAUGUCAAAACCACCCUGUUGAGACCAAAAGAGAAUUAUAACCACAUCGACAUAAAAAGACAAGCAUACCCAACCAAAAGGACUUAUGCUCCACUAGAUGUGGAUCAUCAUAAUGUAAAUAUUGAUUGCUUUGAUAAAAUGGUGCUGUAAGUUCUAAGAUCCCAAAUCAAUCACAAAGCUCGUGAGAAGGAUCUAUAAAGUAAACAAGCCAAGUACCUGGUUUCUGUACGGCUGAAUAUAUUCAGCAUUCAACUCAACAUAUUUGCAUUUCAUGAUACCAGCUGGACCACCCUUGAAGCCGUAAAAUGUGCUUCCUUUGGCACGCUCUUGCAAGUAAUCUAAGAGCGUAAACAAAAUUACAAAUCAGGACAAUGUCAGCUAGAAUUCGACGAAAAUCAUCAUUACACACACAAAAUGAUUCUUUGAAACCCUUACCAAACAGUCCAGAAAUGACAUUGUGCCCACCAGGUGCCUGACCACCGGACAAGACAACACCGAUCUUCAAUUUCUGUGCAGAAGAAGGUGCACUCUGAUCUGGAACCACUGCUACAGAUGGCUGGCCAUAUAGACCCGGAAACAACUUCGCUAUCUCAUCUGCAAUCAUAUCAAAGCAACUCUAAAUCCUCCAGAACACUCUAAUAAGUCUAUAAACCACAGAUCUGUAAGAAAUUUCUCAGACUCCUCUUGAGCCAUUACAUUAUCAUAAGCCAUUAAGUUUCACCAAAAUCAUACAGUUAAUCAAUUCCCUCACCAAACUAACAAGAUCUAGAUCAAGCAAACGACACACAAAUCGAAAAAAAAAAUCAUCAGAUCAGACUGAUAAAAUAAUUCAAUCUCCGAUCUCUCACCUGGAUUCCCGGCUGCGGUACUAGCGGGACCUUCGACGAUUUUGAAAGCUCCUUUAAGUACAGAAGGCAAAGGGAGAGCGUUGUUAAUACGGCUUGAUUGAACUUCGCUGUAAACCGAAGCACGUCCUUUCGCCGGAGCAUUAUCCGGAGAGCCGGCAGCGGCGGCGAGAUCUCGGGUUACGGCAAGAGCAGGGGCCAUUGCUGUGGGGUUUCUAUCGUUUUUCACCUAACUCACUUUGUAUUGUUUCGAACCUAAACUUUUACUUCCCUCCUUUCCUUCACUUCAGCGUCAAUGGAGUUCACUUCGAGGUCUCCGCAUUGGGGUUGGUGUGAAUUUAUACUCUGACUCAAGGGUAUAAUGGUCAAUUCAAAAAUCAAUCUACUCAUUCUACAAGGCAAAGGGUAUUUUAGGGAUAUAUCGUUAGCGGCAUGUAUGUUACUAUGUUCAUAUCUUAAGGCCCAAUAAAUUAUAUGGGCUUUUCAGCCUUAAUAUUUAUAUCCUAUUUCAAUGUUUUGCAAUUUCAGAAUUAAAUGCAUACUCAAUUACUCAUACCGCAUGAUUCAUUUCAUACGACGAGCACACACAUGCGUAGACACGCAAACACAAUUAACCAAGAACGAUGUAUUUUAUUUGUUUACGAAAUCAUCAUAGAAUAUGAAUAUGUGAUUUCAUUAGCUUAUAUAAAAGCAGUAACAGUUCACAUUGAUCGUCGAUUAAUGUGUUUCCUUCUAAAAAGGAUUCAAUCAGCUCUAAAUGCACUUUUCUCUGUAGAAAUUUCUUAACCACAUUUACCACCUUUUGACUUUGUUGGUUAACUUCUUUCUUUUUAUAAAUAAAAGAAAAAUAUACGAAUGUGUGUAAUGUUUGAUAUGGAUCUCUCCAUAUUCAAAGAAAAUAAGUAAUGUUAAUAUAUAAGAGACUAAAUACAAUGCAUAAGUGUAUUAUGAUGGUGUGAACAUAUUGUAAACAUAAAAUCUGAUUAGAAAACAAAAACGUUACAAUUGAGAAAGUACGUGAUUUGGAUAGAUAAACUAAAAUUUGAGAAAUUUGCUUAAUCAGGUUAAUAAAACAAACAACUCCCUUGCAUGGAAGCUACGAUCAUCAAAGGAGAAGUAGGUGGCUAUAGCCACCGACUGAAGUUUUUUCUUUCCCAUUUUUUUGUCGUCAGUAUAGUUCAGAAGACACGAGCAAGAUAAAGAUUGAUUUAUUCUCUUUGUUACAAGAUAUUUGUUUGGCACGCUUACUAUAAUCAACGUAGGCUAUUACAACUUGGAAUUAAAUAAUCACAUCUUGUGCUAUUUUUGUUACGAAAAGAGAAAGUACUAUCAUUUCAAACUUAUUUUUAUUUUAUGUUCACUUCUUAGUGAGUUGUAUACUUUUCUUACCAAACAAUUGAAUUGUUAAAACAAUGUGGAAUCUUGUUCCUCUAUUAUGGACGGAUCCAAAGAUAACAUAUUGUAAAUUAGUUGUGGCCAAGGUUUAGCUAAACCUAUAUUAUCGAAAAAGCAACCUCAUAAAUGAUAAAGUUUGACAAAAACAAUGAUCAACUUAAUUUGACAGAAAGAUUAACAUGUUUGUAUACUUUCUUCCCAAAAGAAACUAAAGUUACUGAUAAUUCAAAAGGACCAAAUCGUAAAACGUUCAAGUAUGUAUGGUUGGUAUGAAUUAGAAUGCUAAAAUGAUUUUGACGUUUCUGCAAAGUUAAAACUUUAAUUCCACAACUUUUUAUGAAGAAACAUAAAAACACCUCAUCGUACAACAUAUUUUCAGACAAGUUAAAACUAAAUUUAUCAUUUCAGUCACUAAAACUUAUUUUUAUAUUUGUGUGUACGCAUUUUACAAUGAUACGUUAGUAUAACUAGAUAAUCAAAUCAAUAUAUAUUGCUAUUUAUCCAGAUCGAUCGUAUACUACACACUAUCCCUAGCCUUUCUUUUGCAUAUACAACGACUCCACAAAGCACCAGUCGAUAAGAAUCUUCGAGCCUUUUCUCAAUUUCCCUUACUUGUACGAACCUUAUAAACAAUUUAUUCACGCUAAUCAAGAAGAAAAUAAAUUAACCAAUAGAAUUGCACAAUUAGAGAUACAAAUGGAAAGCAUCAAAGUUUAUCCUAUCUCAAAAGCAGGAGAGCAGCUAGGCUCCCACCAAUUAUGUUGCACACAAUCAUAUACAACUUCCACAAACUCCUUUAACAAGAAAGAAAAAUUAAUUUUAUAUUUACCAACUUUAUUCUGAAUGACACAAUUAUAUGAUCAUACGACUCUAUGAUACUUAUCUAUCGUUUUCAUUAUUUUAUUUUAUUACGCCUAUAAAUAACGACCCUCUAUCAACCCUUCAACUCACACAUUUAGCAUCAUCAAGUAUCAGAAACUCAAGUUGUCAGUAAAAUACAGAGAGUUUACAGACAGAGAGAGAGAGAGAGAGAGAGAUGGAGAAGAACAUUAAGUUUCCAGUUAUAGACUUGUCUAAGCUCAAUGGUGAAGAGAGAGACCAAACCAUGGCUUUGAUCGACGAUGCUUGUCAAAACUGGGGCUUCUUUGAGGUUCUUUUCUCUCUUUUAUUGUCCUUCUUUGUUAGAACUCCUUUGGUAUCGUCACAUAUAUAAAACUUACUAUAUGAAACAAUAUAUCAAAUCAUUUUUCUCUUUUUGGGACGUUAUAAUUCUUAAGUCUUGAAACUGUUUCAGCUGGUGAACCAUGGACUACCAUAUGAUCUAAUGGACAACGUUGAGAGGAUGACAAAGGAACACUACAAGAAACAUAUGGAACAAAAGUUCAAAGAAAUGCUUCGAUCCAAAGGUUUAGAUACUCUUGAGACCGAAGUCGAAGAUGUUGAUUGGGAAAGCACUUUCUACCUCCGCCAUCUCCCUCAAUCUAAUCUCUACGACAUCCCUGACAUGUCAAACGAAUACAGGUACACACAAAAUAUAUAGAUUUAGCCUCAAAAUCACAGCUCACAUGCAUGAAAAGAAAAACUAAACCAUUCAUUUGUUUUCGAUGUUUCUUUAACAGAACGGCGAUGAAGGACUUUGGGAAGAGGGUGGAGAAUCUAGCAGAAGAGCUGUUGGAUUUGUUGUGUGAGAAUCUUGGAUUGGAGAAAGGAUACUUGAAGAAAGUGUUUCAUGGGACAAAGGGUCCAACUUUUGGGACAAAGGUUAGCAACUAUCCACCAUGUCCUAAACCGGAGAUGAUCAAAGGGCUUAGGGCUCACACGGAUGCAGGAGGCCUCAUUUUGCUAUUUCAAGACGACAAGGUCAGUGGUCUUCAGCUUCUCAAAGAUGGUGAGUGGGUUGAUGUACCUCCUCUCAAGCAUUCCAUUGUCAUCAACCUUGGUGACCAACUUGAGGUACAACAAUUAUCAUCCUUCGUUAUAUAUAACCAAAAAAACCUUAUCUUACUCACAAAAAUGUGACUAGGUGAUAACAAACGGGAAGUACAAGAGUGUAAUGCACCGAGUGAUGACACAAAAAGAAGGAAACAGGAUGUCUAUCGCGUCGUUCUACAACCCGGGAAGCGAUGCCGAGAUCUCCCCUGCACCAUCUCUUGUGGAUGACAAAGACUCAAAGUACCCGAGCUUUGUGUUUGACGACUACAUGAAACUCUAUGCGGGACUCAAGUUUCAGCCCAAGGAGCCAAGGUUCGAGGCGAUGAAGAAUGCUGCAGCAGCCGCGGAGUUAAAUCCCGUGGCAGCCGUCGAAACAUUCUAAACUGGAUGUGGGAUACUCUAUAUAUGAAGGCUACAAAGAUAUGAAGAUAACAAAAAUAUGGGUUUGAUAUGGUGUGGUAUUAGUAAUUUCAAUAAGUGAAAAGAGUGUUUAAGGAUUGGUAAUGUUAGUAAAAUCAAGAAGUUAGAAGUAUGUGAUGGAAUCUAGUGUGUGUUAACUAAACAUAAAGCAAGCGUGGGAGUGCUUUUUUAUGUAUGCAAUAAUUGUGUGGUUUAAAUAUCGAAGAUGAAUGAAACUAAGGGGGUGUUAUUCAACCUUGUAUUUUAAUUGAUUUGGAUGUAUUUCAAAAUCUAGCGUUAUUUAAUGAUGUAUUUUAAAAACCACAAUAAAAUCUGCUGUUAUUGGAUUUAACAUUUGUUGGAUGUAUUUUAAAGUACUUUAAAACAAGCGUUAUUCAAUUUUCAAUGGAUUUUGUUUCAUUUAAGAUUUUAAUGUAUUUUACAUCUAAAACACGUACAAACACAAUCCUAACAAUUUUCAAAGUAUUUCAUCUCUUUCACACCAAAUCCAUCUUAAUUGUAUUUAAAUGCUAUUGAACUUUAAAAUCCACCGGUAAUUAAAAUCCCUUAAAAUUCUCCAUCCAAUAACACCCCCUAAG